Non-coding RNA from Paramuricea clavata, 204 nucleotides. The record is from the annotation of a GenBank genome assembly. NCBI's taxonomy places the organism in Eukaryota, Metazoa, Cnidaria, Anthozoa, Malacalcyonacea, Plexauridae.
UGCCAAAUAGGCAAUUCCAGCUUUUAGUUUAUGCGUGCAGGGGGGAUGAGAAGUAAUGUAUCUUAUUGCUGAUUAGUGAUUAUGCUGUAAAAAUAAAAAUGUAAAAAGAGUAUUAUUGAAAAUUUUUCAGCAUAUCUGCAAUAUGAUACCUUCCCGUCACCCCCUGCGCGCAUAAAAUUAAAAGCUGGAAUAGCCUAUUGGGCA